ACUCUCAGCAACGGAUAUCUGGGCCCUUGCAACGAUGAAGAACGCAGCGAAAUGCGAUACGUAGUGUGAAUUGCAGAAUUCCGCGAAUCAUCGAGUUUCUGAACGCAAGUUGCGCCCGAGGCUUGUCCGAGGGCAUUUCCGCUAGAGCGUCA
RNAcentral lists this ribosomal RNA (152 nucleotides) under Anomobryum apiculatum. RNAcentral describes it as "Gemmabryum apiculatum 5.8S ribosomal RNA". It matches the Rfam family "5.8S ribosomal RNA". Rfam says of the family: 5.8S ribosomal RNA (5.8S rRNA) is a component of the large subunit of the eukaryotic ribosome. It is transcribed by RNA polymerase I as part of the 45S precursor that also contains 18S and 28S rRNA. The record is from RNAcentral. Lineage: Eukaryota; Viridiplantae; Streptophyta; Bryopsida; Bryales; Bryaceae.